CUCCGACCCCUAAAAAAAAAACUUCUCCACGACAUUCGAUCCCCACUCCCGCAUCGUUCGAUCCCCUCUCCCUCUCCCUCGCCGCCGCCGCCGCCGCCGUCCGGCGCGCCAGCAUCGCCGCCAUGCUCCGCCUCCGGGGCUGCAUCCUCCCCCGCCUCCUCUCAUCUCCCGCCACCCCCCUCCACCGCCUCCUCUCCGCGGCCGCGCCGGCCGUUUCUCCGAGCCCCAGCUUCGCCGUGGAGGAGUACCUCGUCUCCACCUGCGGCCUCACCCCAGCGCAGGCCCGCAAGGCCUCCCCCAAGCUCUCCCACCUCAAGUCCCCAUCCAAACCCGACGCCGUCCUCGCCUUCCUCUCCGGCCUCGGCCUCUCCGGCGCCGACGUCGCCGCCGUCGUCGCCAAGGACCCCAAGUUCCUCUGUGCCAGCGUGGAGAAAACCCUGGCCCCCGUCGUCGCUGGGCUCACCGGCCUGGGCUUCUCGCAUUCCGACAUGGCGCGCCUCGCCUCGCUCACCGGCGUCACUUUCCGCUGCAAGUCCAUCAUCGCCGGGCUGCGGUACUGCUUGCCCCUCUUCGGGUCCUCCGAGAACCUCCUUCAAGCCCUAGCUCCAGCGGGUGGCUCCGUUCUCGGGUCCGACCUCGAGCGGGUGGUCAAGCCCAACGUCUCCUUCCUGCUUGAGUGCGGGCUAGGUGCUUGCGAUAUUGCCAAGCUCUACGCAUAUACGCUGUCGCCGCUCAGCAUCAGCACGGAACGCAUCCGGACAGCAGUGGCAUGCGUCGAUGGUCUUGGUGUACCCCGUGGAUCUCCGAUGUUCAGACAUGCGCUACAAGUUGUUGCAUUCGUCAGCGAGGAGAAAAUCACCGCCAAAGUGGAGGGCUUUAAGAAAAAGUUCAGGUGGUCGGAUGCCGAGGUGGGCAUUGCUGUUUCUAAGGCUCCAUCGUUGCUGGUGAGGUCCGAGGACUUGCUGCAGAGCAAAUCGGAUUUCCUUAUCUCCGAGGUGGGACUGGAACCAGCAUACAUUGCUCACCGACCGAUAAUGCUCACUUACAGUCUAGAGGGCCGGCUCAGGCCCCGGUACUACGUCGUCAGAUUUCUCAAGGAAAAUGGAUUGCUAGAUCACGACCGGGACUACUAUGCUGCAGUCGUGAUCAGCGAGAAGGUAUUUGUCGAGAAGUUCAUAUGCCCUCAUAAGGAUGCUGCACCGCACCUCGCUGAAGAUUAUGCAACAGCUUGCAGAGGGGAGGUUCCAGCUAGAUUCAGUUUUACAUGAACCAAGACUAAUAAGAAAAUUGGCAUAUUUAUCCUUAGCAUAUUUGUUUAGGAUAGUAAAAUGGGUCUUAUGUACCGUCAUUUUCGCAAAUUUCUAUGUGAGAAGUCGAGGAAAAGGAAAAAAGCCGGAUGGGAUGCCAUGUUGUCUGGAAUCUUGCAGAAUUUCAAACAUAGGAAUUACGAUGCACCUUAGACUAUGAACCAACCUGUGAGGAUGGUGCACAUUUGUUUGUUCUUGAUGCGAGGUUGUGUAAGUUGGAAGAAAUGAGAUCUGAGGUGUAUGCUUGCAGUAAGGCAACGAGAUGUGAUUUAAAGACCGAAAUGAGAUCUGAGGUGUGUCCCUCUUCUCUGGUUGCUUGUUAAAAUUAUAGAAUCAAGAUUAGUGAAAUGUAGGUGAGGUGAAUAGGUUGAUGGAUGAAAUGACUUACCAUCAGGUGAGAAGGUGAAAAUGUGCUGAAACUGGAUGUAGAUGGUGCUUUCUUGUUCUGCCAGGAAAUGAGACGAAACAUACAUAAUUCUGAAGGGCUUUGUAGGUUGAUGAUGCCCUGAAGCUUCAUUGACAAGUGCCCUGAUGAUGGCGUGAGUUUUAUUCAGGGAAGCUCCUACUUUUCUCUUUUUUGAAUCUUGCAAAUUAAGUAAUCCUUCUGUUAUACUAUACAUUUGAAUAACGAAACUGUUUGGCACACGAUAUUUGAUGGCCGAUUUCCGCACGACCAAUGAAUCUACGGCCGUUGCCCUUUAACUCGCAUGCAUGUGCGGCUGGAUUUUCACUGUUGUGCAUGAAUCGUGUGAGUUUUGUCGUCUGUAUAGCACUGUUCUUUGAAUAAACUAGCAGCAUCUGAUGCUUUGAUCGA
RNA transcript from Triticum aestivum (bread wheat), 2121 nucleotides. RefSeq lists it as uncharacterized. The transcript has 3 exons. NCBI's taxonomy places the organism in Eukaryota, Viridiplantae, Streptophyta, Magnoliopsida, Poales, Poaceae. The record is from RefSeq and is a predicted model, not a curated record.